Molecule: long non-coding RNA, 2525 nt
Organism: Oreochromis aureus
Lineage: Eukaryota; Metazoa; Chordata; Actinopteri; Cichliformes; Cichlidae
Source: Ensembl
CUCUGGAAAUAAAUCAGCGGCGGUGGUGGAGGUUUUGGGCGUGGCGCCCUGCUGGCAGACAGGAAUAGAACCGUAAUGGAGGGUUUAAAAUGACGUGUCUGCAGGCUUUUUUUACACUCUCGUGCUCUCGCACUGUGUGUGUAUGUGAGCCUGGUCUUUACCUGAGGAGGUGUGCGUGUUACAGCCUGAGGACGGGGCACAGGUGUGUUUAACCUGCGGGACGUGAUCAGUCCUGAAAACCAGCAUGGAGGAGUUUUUACUUCUCUUCAUGCAGCAGCUGCUAAAGCAAGCUUUUUAGCUCCUCCCUCAUUCAGAGCAACUUUAUUCUGAUUGGCUGCUCAUCCUGAACAGGAACUUUGAAUCCCCCUUCUAUGCAGUGCGCAGUGAUCUGACGACCUCAUCAUUACUAACGCGUUUGACAUGAACGCCCGCCACAGAAACAGGAAGUACGCGCUGGCUUCAGAUGCACAUCAGUAAAAACACCACUCAUUAAUGGGAGACGUAUUUGGAUCGCCCCCCGGUGGCUGUUACACCAUUCAUCAUGUUCCAUCGUGUAAAGGCCACGCCCCUUCAUAUGAACAGAAGAGGCGGUUUGCGAGAUUCAGAAAAGGAACCUUUGAGUUCGGCACGUUUAAGAUUUUUUAUUUUGAUUGUUACAUUUUUAUCAAAACUGAAAAGCAUCCCGAGCCGUCGUCAUCAUCAUCAUCAUCAUCACCAUCACCAUCAUUAAUGACACAGUCAGAGGUCACAAGCCCAUCUCCCCCACAUCCCCCUCCUCCUCCCCCGGGGGGGAGCAGAGGCGUGAGAUGAACACACAGUGGUAGUUCCACAGCAGCAGCAGCACCAUCAGCAGCAGGCCGCAGAGCAGCAGGGCCACCAGCAGGGGGAGACGGCAUGAUGCUGACAGAGGGCAGAGGUCGCCGCAGCUGACGGGGAGAGGAGGAGGAGGAGGGGAGGAGCAGCGAUGGAGCCACAAACAGAGACGUUUGAGUCCCGAUGGGUCAGACUGAGAUGAGCUGAGAGGUGACGGCAUGGUCCUGGAGAGGUCAGAGGUCAGGUGGAGCUCAGCUGAGAAUCAGAAACAGAAACAUCAGUAAAAUCCAGAAGCUCCAUAAUGCUCCAAUCUGAGGGUGGGGCCCACUGAAGGUCACACAGUAGAUCUGAGGGGGGUGGGACAGGAAGCAGGUUACUCUGAUCUUAUUUUAAAAAGUGAAAGCGUGCAGAGAGCAUCAGACUCGGGCGCAGGUGUGUCCCUGACGCUCUGACCUCUCUGACUUGCUAUUAUGGCCGACAGUUUGCCUCAAACACGAGCUCUUUAAAUGUGAGCACACGUCUCAGCAGAGGAAGGCGCGGAGCUGCUGAGGUGUGACGAGCCCGGCGAUACCUGCAGAUGUUUGCAGAUGUUUGUGAAUGAAAUUAAAGCGAACUGAGUGACACUGAACUUCUCACCGGCCUCUCGGAGAAACCAGCGGCCUCAGCAGGAAGUGCUGGACUGGGUCGCUCAACAUCGCGCACGGACUCGCUCUGACCGUGUGUGAGGUUUGGAUCCAAGUUUACGUUCCCGUUAAAGAAGAGCCUGAAGUAAUGGGAAAACAGAAAGGAGCCUUCAGGAACUCCACAAGAAGAACAUCAAAAUCCCUCAAAGAAGAAAAUCUGGAAGCUUCACGGAGCAGCGAGGGGGAGGAGGAAUUCAGCCUCCUCGUCUUCCUCACUCCUCCGCUUCAUUACCGGCUCCAGAAAUAACACAGGGUUACCACAGCAACAGCCGAAGGGCUUCAAGGUUACUGUGACAACCACCGAGAGGAGAAGCACGGGAAAUACACAGACCUUCCACCCCACGCUGCGUCUGUCGCUUUUACUCCACAUAACAGCCCGGUCCCCGUCUGAGGCCCGAGGCCUGGUCAGAGUUUUCAUGCACGGAGCUGCUGGUUUUUCCUGCACAUACGAGGUUUCCAGCUGACUGAGCAGGCAGAGAAAGGCUCUGUAAACAGCUGUGAGUGAGCGUUCAGCUCGGAAACACUCACCUGUCUGCUCCUUUCCUUCUACGUCUGUGGCGAAGACCAAAUACCUGCAGCCUCUUCCUCUGUCUGUGUAACACAGCCGGCUCAGCCAAUCACAGCGGCCGGUUGGAGGUAGUCAGCUGAGUUUCAGUGCACUGACCGGCGGCAUCACGCCGUGACCUUCAGACUGAGAGUCAACAAUCAGGCCGCGCACACUGAAAACAGCUGCAGAGCCUCGAGCUGCAGCCACACACAGAAACUGCCCCAGGAAAUACCCUCCAACGCCCCCCCAGGAUGAAGAACACAGCUGCUGCCUUUCACCGCCCUCGAAUCCCCUGUAUGCAUCUUCAUUGCGACACAAACGUUGACCUGCAAGACUACAGUACCCACAAUCCUCUGUGGCUCCAGCCUUUUGGUGCUUUGAGCUUUACUCUGUCCUGCAGUUCCAGUGAGAGCUGUGCAGUGACACAGCCGAGUGAUGCAGAGCGGCGUCUUCGUCUCUGAGCAGGCUCAAUAACCACUCAC